CCUACGGGGGGCAGCAGUGGGGAAUAUUGGGCAAUGGGCGCAAGCCUGACCCAGCAACGCCGCGUGAAGGAAGAAGGUCUUCGGGUUGUAAACUUCUUUUGACAGGGAAGAGCAGAAGGCCGUACCUGUCGAAUAAGCCACGGCCAACUACGUUGCAGCAGCCGCGGCAAUACGUAAGGGGGAAGCGUUACUCGGAAUUACUGGGGGUAAAGGGCGUGUAGGGGGGAUGACAAGUCAAGUGUGAAAACCGGGGGCUCAACCCCCGAACUGCAGUUGAAACUGUUGGUCUUGAGUAUCGGAGAGGCAGGCGGAAUUCCUAGUGUAGCGGUGAAAUGCGUAGAUAUUAGGAGGAACACCAGUGGCGAAGGCGGCAUGCUGGACGGCAACUGACGGUGAGGCACGAAAGCGUGGGGAGCAAACAGGAUUAGAUACCCGAGUAGUC
Molecule: ribosomal RNA, 442 nt
Filed under: uncultured bacterium
Lineage: Bacteria
Description: partial 16S ribosomal RNA
Rfam family: Bacterial small subunit ribosomal RNA
Source: RNAcentral